Molecule: long non-coding RNA, 771 nt
Filed under: Vigna radiata
Lineage: Eukaryota; Viridiplantae; Streptophyta; Magnoliopsida; Fabales; Fabaceae
Description: long non-coding RNA (VRAD_LNC011110)
Source: RNAcentral
GGGGUAGGACGAUCAAUUGCGCUUACUUCUGUUUAUAAUGCGAUAUUAAUUACUAGGGGAGGCUAGGGAUAGCAAGCCGGUAAUUGAUAUUAGGCCCUUUUCGCCGAGGGAUCGGGUUAAGGGGAGGCUAAGAAAGUUGCAUAACAAUUGAAUCAAUCUAAUAAUCAAGAGUAGUAUGUAAGAGAGAGUGGAAUAGAUGAAAUUGUUAGUACCCAACAACAUUCAUCCAUCCAUUGUUUUCACUUGUCAAUUGAAUCAACAUUUAUUUUGCAUGUUAAUAUUUUUAUCCUCAAAUCCAAUUUAUUAAAUUUUAUUUUUCAAGUCUUAUUAUUUUAAUUCACGCGAAAGAGAAAGUCAUAUGAGUCUCUUGGAAAAAACGAUACUUGGUCUUACCAUUUAUAUUACUUGUACGAUUUGGUACACUUGCCAAUCCGUCAACAAUAGCAAACCAGUAGUUAAUAUUAGGCCCUUUUCGUCGAGGGAUCGGGUUAAGGGGAGGCUUAGAAAGUCGCAUAACAAUUAAUCAAUCUAAUAGUCAAGGGUAGUAUGUAAGACAGAGUGGAAUAGAUGAAAUGGUUAGUACCCAACAACAUCCAUCCAUCCAUUGUUUUCGUUUGUCAAUUGAAUCAACUUUAUUUUUGCAUGUUAAUAUUUUUAUCCUCAAAUCCAAUUAAUUAAAUUUUAUUUUUCAAGUCUUAUUAUUUUAAUUCACGCGAAAGAGAAAGCCAUACGAGUCUCUUGGGAAAAACGAUACUUGGUCUUACCAUUUAU